RNAcentral lists this ribosomal RNA (505 nucleotides) under uncultured bacterium. Its description in RNAcentral is "partial 16S ribosomal RNA". It matches the Rfam family "Bacterial small subunit ribosomal RNA", at positions 899 to 1397 of the family's 1533-position model. The record is from RNAcentral.
ACUCAAAUGAAUAGACGGGGGCUCACACAAGCGGUGGAGCAUGUGGCUUAAUUCGAGGCUACGCGCAAAACCUUAUCCCGGGCUUGACAUGCACGGAUUAGCCGGCGGAAACGUCGGUGAGGCCGCAAGGUACAACGUGCACAGGUGCUGCAUGGCUGUCGUCAGCUCGUGUCGUGAGAUGUUGGGUUAAGUCCCGUAACGAGCGAAACCCCUGCGCCCAGUUGCCACCGGGUCAUGCCGAGCACUCUGGGCGGACCGCCGGCGUUAAGCCGGAGGAAGGCGGGGAUGACGUCAAGUCCUCAUGGCCCUUAUGCCCGGGGCUGCACACGUGCUACAAUGGGCCGGACAGAGCGUCGCGAUGCCGCAAGGCCGAGCCAAUCGCAAAAACCGGCCCCCAGUUCGGAUCGCGGGCUGCAACCCGCCCGCGUGAAGCCGGAAUCGCUAGUAAUCGCGGAUCAGCACUGCCGCGGUGAAUGGGUUCCUGAGCCUUGUACACACCGCCCGU